Molecule: small nucleolar RNA, 214 nt
Organism: Bubo bubo (Eurasian eagle-owl)
Lineage: Eukaryota; Metazoa; Chordata; Aves; Strigiformes; Strigidae
Gene: U3
Rfam family: Small nucleolar RNA U3
About the family: Small nucleolar RNAs (snoRNAs) are involved in the processing and modification of rRNA in the nucleolus. There are two main classes of snoRNAs: the box C/D class, and the box H/ACA class.
Source: Ensembl
AGGACUAUACUUUCAGGGAUCAUUUCUGUAGUCGUUGACUAGAGGAGAGUGAUCGUCCUUGUCCGGCGUCACAAGCCACGAGGAGGAGCGAGGCGCUGUCUCCUGAGCGCGAGGCGGGCGGGCGGCGCUGCUUGUGCAGGAGCCGCUCGUCAUCGAUGACCGUUCGCGGUUCCCGUGUUGGGUUCCGUGAGGGAGAGGGCGCGGGCUGAGUGGU